GACGAACGCUGGCGGCGUGCUUAACACAUGCAAGUCGAACGGAAAGGCCCUGCUUUUGUGGGGUGCUCGAGUGGCGAACGGGUGAGUAACACGUGAGUAACCUGCCCUUGACUUUGGGAUAACUUCAGGAAACUGGGGCUAAUACCGGAUAGGAGCUCCUGCUGCAUGGUGGGGGUUGGAAAGUUUCGGCGGUUGGGGAUGGACUCGCGGCUUAUCAGCUUGUUGGUGGGGUAGUGGCUUACCAAGGCUUUGACGGGUAGCCGGCCUGAGAGGGUGACCGGCCACAUUGGGACUGAGAUACGGCCCAGACUCCUACGGGAGGCAGCAGUGGGGAAUAUUGCACAAUGGGCGGAAGCCUGAUGCAGCAACGCCGCGUGCGGGAUGACGGCCUUCGGGUUAUAAACCGCUUUCGCCUGUGACGAAGCGUGAGUGACGGUAAUGGGCAAAGAAGCACCGGCUAACUACGUG
Molecule: ribosomal RNA, 468 nt
Filed under: uncultured bacterium
Lineage: Bacteria
Description: partial 16S ribosomal RNA
Rfam family: Bacterial small subunit ribosomal RNA
Source: RNAcentral